Molecule: long non-coding RNA, 211 nt
Organism: Xiphophorus couchianus (Monterrey platyfish)
Lineage: Eukaryota; Metazoa; Chordata; Actinopteri; Cyprinodontiformes; Poeciliidae
Exons: 2
Source: RefSeq, a predicted model, not a curated record
UUAGGGUAAGGGUAGGGUUAGGGUAGGGUAAGGGUUAGGAUAUAGGAUGAAAACCAGAAAACGCGUUCGGUCAAGCUCAAUAACUCAAAAACUAUAAGAGGUAUGGGGCCCAUACUUGGCCUCGAGGGACCCAUGGAGGGGACCCAGGUACCCUCCAAGUUUGGUGGCUGUGGCCCCUUCCUAUGACAUAGCUGCCAUUGACUCCCAUUCA